AAAGUCGUAACAAGGUUUCCGUAGGUGAACCUGCGGAAGGAUCAUUAACAAAUUCAAUAAUGUGUAUUUUGUGCAAAUUAUUUGUUGUUUUAUAUAUAAACAACAAAUACAAAUACAACAAACAGUCUAUUACAUUUAAUUUAUAACAACUUUUAACAAUGGAUCUCUAGGCUCUU
RNAcentral lists this unclassified non-coding RNA (176 nucleotides) under Basidiomycota sp. RNAcentral's name for it is "partial contains small subunit ribosomal RNA, internal transcribed spacer 1, and 5.8S ribosomal RNA". The stretch from base 1 to 47 matches the Rfam family "Eukaryotic small subunit ribosomal RNA", at positions 1785 to 1831 of the family's 1831-position model. Lineage: Eukaryota; Fungi; Basidiomycota. The record is from RNAcentral.